This is a long non-coding RNA of Arvicola amphibius (Eurasian water vole), 768 nucleotides long. RefSeq lists it as uncharacterized. The record is from RefSeq and is a predicted model, not a curated record. The transcript is spliced from 3 exons. Lineage: Eukaryota; Metazoa; Chordata; Mammalia; Rodentia; Cricetidae.
CCCAUCUGAUGCUAAGCCCUCCUUCUUCCAUGGGACUAGGAGACGCUGAGAAGAGAGGGAGGAUACUAACCUGCAAGGGACCCUCGAGGCCAGCAUUUCCGCCCUUGCCCGGACACACUCACUAGCUCUUCCAAUUCCGCCUAACCAAUCUCUGUGGUUCUAUGCCUGCCGGCUUCAGCCAAUUCAAGGCAAGAGUUCACACUGACACUCUUUUGGCUGCUUCAGGUGAAAGGCCUUACCAGAGGACAGCCCUCGUCACCGAUUGAAACAUCCACACCUUUUAAAAGCCACACAUACAUUCGAAGCCCUUCCACAAGAACAAUGGCUGUUUUGAGGGAGAACUCUAUUCAGUUUGCCGGGUCACGGGCAGACGGACAAAAACAAACAAAAGCCCAUUAGUCCCGCACAAAAUGACCACUGGACAUAAUUCAUCAGCCACGGUUACCACUGAGGACAAGUAAGGACAGUCUUUCCAAUUGUCUUCUCUACCCCAACAAACCCUCCGGGCGGGCGGGUGCUCAGAACAGCCUGGGGUUUUCUGAAUGACAAUGGCGUCCCCUACUUAAAAAAAGAAAAGGAGAACCCUGGGAUCCUGGGGACAUUCCUUUUCACUCCGCUUGACAGGCUGGCUCUGCCUCUGGAUCCAUUCACUGAUUCAACUGCGUGCCACUAAUUUCCAGCUUCCUUCCUUCCUGUCACCUUGUCCUUCCCGAGUCCAGCAGACUUCUGGCCUCUUAAAGCUGCCAGGUCAAGAGAGCUCAGCUUUGU